CCGUACACAAAAGCGCAUGUGCUGUGAGCUCGAUGAGUAGGGCGGGACACGUGGUAUCCUGUCUGAAUAUGGGGGGACCAUCCUCCAAGGCUAAAUACUCCUGACUGACCGAUAGUGAACCAGUACCGUGAGGGAAAGGCGAAAAGAACCCCGGCGAGGGGAGUGAAAAAGAACCUGAAACCGUGUACGUACAAGCAGUGGGAGCACAGGUUUACCUGUGUGACUGCGUACCUUUUGUAUAAUGGGUCAGCGACUUAUAUUCUGUAGCAAGGUUAACCGUAUAGGGGAGCCGGAGGGAAACCGAGUCUUAAUUGGGCGUUAAGUUGCAGGGUAUAGACCCGAAA
This 344-nucleotide ribosomal RNA is filed under the name Salmonella enterica subsp. enterica serovar Typhimurium. Its description in RNAcentral is "partial 23S ribosomal RNA". It matches the Rfam family "Bacterial large subunit ribosomal RNA", at positions 373 to 720 of the family's 2925-position model. The record is from RNAcentral. Lineage: Bacteria; Pseudomonadati; Pseudomonadota; Gammaproteobacteria; Enterobacterales; Enterobacteriaceae.